CCUACGGGCGGCAGCAGUGAGGAAUAUUGGUCAAUGGUCGCGAGUCUGAACCAGCCAAGCCGCGUGAGGGAAGACGGUCCUGUGAGUUGUAAACUGCUUUUGUACGGGGGUAAAGGCAGGUACGCGUACCCGUCUGCGAGUAUCUUACGAAUAAGGAUCGGCUAACUCCGUGCCAGCAGCCGCGGUAAUACGGAGGAUUCAAGCGUUAUCCGGAUUUAUUGGGUUUAAAGGGUGCGUAGGCGGUCGGAUAAGUUAGCGGGGAAAGCCCGGGGCUCAACCCCGGACGUGCCGCUGAUACUGUUAGGCUAGAGUGUAGGUGCGGUAGGCGGAAUGCAUGGUGUAGCGGUGAAAUGCAUAGAGAUCACACAGAACACCGAUUGCGAAGGCAGCAUACCAAGCUAACACUGACGCUGAGGCACGAAAGCGUGGGGAUCAAACAGGAUUAGAUACCCGGGUAGUC
This 460-nucleotide ribosomal RNA is filed under the name uncultured bacterium. Its description in RNAcentral is "partial 16S ribosomal RNA". It matches the Rfam family "Bacterial small subunit ribosomal RNA", at positions 338 to 795 of the family's 1533-position model. The record is from RNAcentral.